CAGCAGCCACGGGAAUACGAAGGGGGCUAGCGUUGCUCGGAAUGACUGGGCGUAAAGGGCGCGUAGGCGGCGAUCAAAGUCAGGCGUGAAAUUCCUGGGCUCAACCUGGGGGCUGCGUUUGAUACUUGGUUGCUAGAGUGAGGAAGAGGGUCGUGGAAUUCCCAGUGUAGAGGUGAAAUUCGUAGAUAUUGGGAAGAACACCGGUGGCGAAGGCGGCGACCUGGUCCUUGACUGACGCUGAGGCGCGAAAGCGUGGGGAGCAAACAGGAUUAGAUACCCCAGUAGUCCCUGUCUCUUAUAC
RNAcentral lists this ribosomal RNA (301 nucleotides) under uncultured bacterium. RNAcentral describes it as "partial 16S ribosomal RNA". It matches the Rfam family "Bacterial small subunit ribosomal RNA", at positions 509 to 807 of the family's 1533-position model. The record is from RNAcentral.